GCUUCCAUAUUCAUGUUUUCAUCCAAACAAGAUGAAAGGUAUCCAGAUAGUGGUGCUAAUAACCCUAGUGAUGACCGCGAUGUCCGACCCAGGUGAUUCAACCCACACUUGCACCAGUCAUGCAGGAAAAUGCGUGUGGAGCCAAAGCUGUCCCAAAUAUUACCAUUAUGAUCAAUAUCACUUGUGUUUUGCUGGACAAACCUGUUGUCUACCUGAUGUGAGUGGUUAAUACUCGAAUAAGGACAGUUAUAGUGUAAACAAAUCACGAGGAAUUAUUAUUCAAUUAAUCAAAUAAAACA
Long non-coding RNA from Mytilus californianus (California mussel), 299 nucleotides. RefSeq lists it as uncharacterized. The record is from RefSeq and is a predicted model, not a curated record. NCBI's taxonomy places the organism in Eukaryota, Metazoa, Mollusca, Bivalvia, Mytilida, Mytilidae. The transcript has 3 exons.